UUCCAUCCAGUCCAGCAAAGCUGGAGGAAGGGUGGACAGUGAGCUGAACACAAGCCAGCACAGGACACCUUUAGCAAAGCAGUCCAAGGGUGUGAUGGGCUGCAUAAGCAAGGGUCUUGGCAGUAAGGCUUGAAAGAUUGCUUGGAGGUGAAUCUGCUGAGGGAUGCCAACAAGGACUUCUCUAAAUGUCUAAGUGGCAAAGACCAGGGAAAGGAUGAGUCCAUUGCUGAAUAGGGCAGGAGAUAUGUUGCCUUGGCUCCAGUGAUAAGGCAGAGGUGAAAACUCACCUGCAAAGCCACAAGAAGGUACCAAAACCUCCCGCACAGCAGGCUUUCCCUCUUUGGGGCAUCUACUUUCCUAGCUGGGUAACAAACAGUAAACAGUUCCUUGGAACACGGGUGUCACUGUGACAUCACCCCAACCUCGCUGCUUUUCAGAGGCCACAAGCUCUGUCCCCUGACUCUCUGUCCAGGACUCCUGCAGGCACACACUCAAGGACCAGGUGAGGGGCACUGAGCAAGCCCUAGAGGAGAGACUCUGGUACAAGGGGCAGCAUGAGCCAGCCACCACCAGCAGGGCCAUCAGAAAUGGCAGCGGCAGAUGGCCUAUGCCCCAUCUGCCUGGGUGACCUUGAAAAUGCUACCUAUGUGGAGGUCUGUCGGCAUCGCUUUUGCUUCAUCUGUAUCUGGGAAUGGGCCAAACUGACAGAGACCUGCCCACUGUGCAAGCACCCUUUCAAGCGACUGCUGUGCGCUGUGACAGUGGACAACCACGAGGAGCAUGCGGCUGGCUGGUCUGCCGGCCUCCAAGGGAAGGCAGCCAGGAUCCAGAGCAGAUCCCCACAGUGGCACUCUACAACCUGAGUCACAGGCAUGCUGACACUCAGCCCUCCACGGGGAGAAGGGAGACUGUGGGGACAGAGUGAGUGCAGAUGGACCCAGCAGCUGUGGGGUCCUCUGAUGCCACUUCUCAGCAGGCGGCUGCAGCCAGCACUUCUCAUGAGGGAACACCACUGAGCACAAGGAAGCACCUGGCCAGCCCUGCUGCCACACCAAACUGCAGGUGCACCAGCAGGGCUGCUGCAGCUCCUGCAACCGUCUGAUCUCUUUCACUUGCAAUAAACAGCCAGGCGCUUUCAAUUUUGGGAUGUGUAUCAUGAUUUCAAUCAUUUUUAAUUGCUGCAACAGAAGAUGUUUCCCCUCCUGCUUUCCCUGCUUUCCACUUCCAAGCACCAGGGCAGGGGUGUCCAAAUUCUAUGCCCAGCAGCUGCUCCUGCUGGUGCUUCUGUAUCCAAAUGUUCCCAGCCAUUCUUUAGGCCCUACUCUCAGUGUAGCAGAGUGUGGCUACAAUGACUGAUAGUACCCAGGGAGGCCACAAGCGACAGCAGGGGAAACAGACAAGACUACUCUCCGUUGUUUAGCACAGGAAUCCAUUUUAAUUCCCCCCAACACCCCGUGCUGGCGGCAGGGGGCAGGAGGCAGAGGCCUGGGGGCCCAAGCAGAGCCCCAGAGAGCCGAGAGCAGACAGAGGGCGGACAGAGACCUGCGGCUGGGAUUUUAACAGGAGUCCCAUGGGAGGAGUCUUAAACUCAGAUUAAAGCCUCCUCAGAAGAUGAAGGCUCCACAUCUCAGUCCAUCUCAGACAGCAGCAGCUGAAACUCCCCCCACCUGAGUCCCCAUGGCUGUGGCUGGCAGGCGGGAGGGGACUGGUUGUGUUCUUCUGGCUAAAUGCUCUCUGGGAAUGCGAGUUCAGAAGCGGUAUUAAAAUGUCUGUAUUGAAGGGAACCUGGAUGGCCUAUUUCCAGAAAGAAGUCAGGGGAAAAUCCACAUGAAGUAGUUUUGGCUACUUUCUUCACCAUGGAAAUUCACACAUAGACACAGAAGUGCCCUGAACAACAAGGGUCUGCCAGAAAGU
This is a long non-coding RNA of Passer domesticus (house sparrow), 1914 nucleotides long. RefSeq lists it as uncharacterized. The transcript has 3 exons. The record is from RefSeq and is a predicted model, not a curated record. Lineage: Eukaryota; Metazoa; Chordata; Aves; Passeriformes; Passeridae.